UUUUUUUUUUUUUUAGAUUUAUUUAUUUAGAGAAAGCAAUCAUGUGGGGGAGGAGCAAGGGAGAAAGAGAAAGAAACUCAGGCAGACUCCUCACUGAGCUCGGUGCCCAAUGCAGGGCUCAAUUUCACAAUCCUGAGUUCACAACCUGAGCAGAACCCAAGAGUCGGAUGUUUAACCCACUGUGCCACCCAGGCACCCUAUAGGCUUCUAUCUUUAAGAGUGAGGUGCUAAGAAGUUGUGAAUGUUAAUUAAAUUGUUAAUUAACAGUUGCAAUAAAUACAAAGGAAACUCAAUUAAAAAAAAUAAGUAAGACUGAGUUGUAGGAAGAGAGAAGUUUUCAUUUUAAAUAGUUUACAGUCCUAAAUCAAUACAAUGCAUUAGGCAUUUUAUUUGUCAAAUUGAGGGUGAUCCAUCUGGUCCACUAGGUUUUUUUUACUAGUAAAGACUGUAAAAGCACUUGCCAAACAUUUCAUCCAUGGGUUAGAGAAAAAAUAUAACCUCACAGAGAAGGGCUAACAGAGGCAAUACUGGAAGAAUAUGUUUUUUAAAGAUUUUAUUUAUUUGAGAGAAAGAGAGUACACAAGCCAGUAGAAUAGCAGGCAGAAGGAAAGGGAGAAGCAGGCUCCCCGCUGAGCAGGGAGCCCUAUACAGGGCUCAAUCCUGGGAUCACAAUCUGAGCCAAAGGGAGAUGUUUAACUGACUGAUCCACCCAGGCACCCUGGGAGAAUAUGGGUUUUUUUUGAAAAUACAAAACUGGAAUGGGCUAAAGACCUAAAUGUGUAAGAUAAAACUACAAAGUUAAUAGACAAAACUGGAGAAUUUCUUUGUGAUCAUAGAGCAGAAAAACAAACAGCAAUUUUGUACUAUAAACCACAGGGGGAAAAUAUGCAACUGUGGCAUUAAGAUAAAGGCUUUCUGUUUAAUAAGUAACAGAAAAAGAAUACAUAUAGAAUAGGAUUAUUUGCAGAAUCUGUCAGGAAAUUAAUACCUAGAAUAUUUAAGAAACACUUGCAAAUCAGCAGCAAAAAGGCAGCAAUCUGAAUUGAAAUAUGAACACAAGGUACAAAGACGAAAUUUAUAAAUAAACUCAAAAAGCUGAGAAGCAUUAAAGAAUACUCAAAAUCACUGGCAAUCAUGGAAAAGCAAAUAAUAUACUACACAAUAUACUACACAGAUGUAAUUCUUUAGACACUUUACACUCAUAAAUAUGAAAAAGCUAGAUAGUGCUGUGUUCUUUGCAGAUUUAGGGUUAUAGGAACACUCAUAUGCAAUGCUAGUAGAAUUGUGGACUUGUACAACUAAUCUAAACAUGACUUGACACUACUUAGACAAGUAAACUCAUAUCCUGACCCAGAUAUCAAUGGCCUUCAAAAUUCUCAAACGGGUCCAUAAAGGAAUACAUAUAUAUAUAUAAGGAUAUUCACUUAAUUUCUUAUGGUGGUUGGGUAUCGCAGGUAACCCAAGGGUCCAACCCCUGGAAGACUAGAUAGGCAAAGAGUGGUAGAUGUCCUGACAUAUGUUUACAUAGUGACAGAAGGAUUGUAAAAACAUGGUGGUUAGUGAAAAACAAAAAAGAGAAGAUAUAUUAUUUGUAUAGCUAAAAAAUACAUGCAAGUAAAAUAUAUGACUUUGUAAGAACAUAUUCAAUAUAAAGAUAUUUUGAAUGACUCUAUAGAGGAAGAAGGGAAACAGGGUGGAGAUUGAAAGAAGACAGACCCCCUCAUGAAUUAAUGAUUAGUGAGGCUGUUUAACUCAAUUUCAGUUUCAGAGAUUGAUUAAAAAAAAAUUAAAAACAUUUUUUCCCCUCUGCAUACUCCCCCAUGGAAUCAAGCAUUUAAUGAUAUUACUUUUCAGAAUUUUUUUUUACCUCUAAGUUUUUUCUUGUUUACUCUACCUAGCACCUCUAAAGAAAUGUUAACUAGUAGUAGAAAAAAGAGACUCAAAAAAAAAAAAAAAAAAA
RNAcentral lists this long non-coding RNA (1960 nucleotides) under Canis lupus familiaris (dog). RNAcentral describes it as "lncRNA (ENSCAFG00000058446.1)". Lineage: Eukaryota; Metazoa; Chordata; Mammalia; Carnivora; Canidae. The record is from RNAcentral.